Oreochromis aureus is the source of this 501-nucleotide long non-coding RNA. RefSeq lists it as uncharacterized. The transcript is spliced from 3 exons. The record is from RefSeq and is a predicted model, not a curated record. NCBI's taxonomy places the organism in Eukaryota, Metazoa, Chordata, Actinopteri, Cichliformes, Cichlidae.
UUGUGUACAGACCUCCAGACUACACUCUGAGGCCAUUCCUGAAAAACCUGGUAAGCCUAUUAGACUCAUUAGAGAUCAUGGACUGUCAUCCCAUCAUAGUGUGUGGUGAUUUUAAUGAGAAUGUUUUAUCCAGUGCAAACAAACCAAUCCUGGAGCUGUUUGAGUCUAGGGGAUAUGCACAGGUCAUCACUACCCCUACCACAGAGAAGAACACACUGCUUGACCUAAUUUUCAUUUCUCAGCCAGAGCGAUGUCUCCAUUCUGGAGUCAUGAAGACCUACUAUAGUUACCAUGACCCUGUAUACUGUGUAUUGUCCUGUGAUGAUUCAUGAUCUAGAUCUUUGACUACAAGCUGAGACACUCAGGACUGAACAGACUGCACAGUUUCUGUGACCGAGCCUCCAAAACAUCUUCUUUGAAACCACACAUGAUAGAAGGGCUUUAUAUUUGCAGCAGCACUACUAAAGUUGGCAGGAAUGUUGCUGCAGGAAAACAUCCCUG